This 1014-nucleotide ribosomal RNA is filed under the name uncultured Acidobacterium sp. RNAcentral describes it as "bacterial SSU rRNA". It matches the Rfam family "Bacterial small subunit ribosomal RNA", at positions 47 to 1030 of the family's 1533-position model. The record is from RNAcentral. Lineage: Bacteria; Pseudomonadati; Acidobacteriota; Terriglobia; Terriglobales; Acidobacteriaceae.
CCUGAUACAUGCAAGUCGAGCGCGAAAGCGGCCUUCGGGCCGCAAGUAGAGCGGCGAACGGGUGAGUAACACGUGGGUAACCUGCCCUGGAGUGGGGAAUAACUUGGGGAAACCCGAGCUAAUGCCGCAUACGCCCGCCGGACCUUCGGGUCCGGCGAGGAAAGGUGGCCAAUUCUUGAAAGCUGCCGCUCCAGGAGGGGCCCGCGCCCGAUUAGCUAGUUGGUGAGGUAACGGCUCACCAAGGCUACGAUCGGUAGCCGGCCUGAGAGGGCGAUCGGCCACACUGGAACUGAGACACGGUCCAGACCGCUACGGUGGGCAGCAGUACGGAAUAUUGCGCAAUGGGCGAAAGCUUGACGCAGCAACGCCGCGUGAAGGAUGAAGGCCUUCGGGUCGUAAACUUCUGUCAGGCGGGACGAAAGAGCGGCGGCGAACAACCGCCGUUUCCUGACGGUACCGCCGGAGGAAGCCCCGGCUAACUCCGUGCCAGCAGCCGCGGUAAUACGGAGGGGGCAAGCGUUAUUCGGAAUCAUUGGGCGUAAAGGGCGUGUAGGCGGCUUGAUAAGCCAAAGGUGAAAUCCCUCAGCUCAACUGAGGAACUGCCUUUGGAACUGUCUCGCUAGAGGCCAGGAGAGGGUAGCGGAAUUCCCAGUGUAGCGGUGAAAUGCGUAGAUAUUGGGAGGAACACCAGUGGCGAAGGCGGCUACCUGGACUGGUACUGACGCUGAGGCGCGAAAGUGUGGGGAGCAAACAGGAUUAGAUACCCUGGUAGUCCACGCUGUAAACGAUGGGCACUCGGUGCUGCGGGUAUCGACCCCUGCAGUGCCUUAGCUAACGCGUUAAGUGCCCCGCCUGGGGAGUACGGUCGCAAGGCUGAAACUCAAAGGAAUUGACGGGGGCCCGCACAAGCGGUGGGAGCAUGUGGUUUAAUUCGAUGCAACGCGCAGAACCCUUACCUGGGUUUAAACUGUGGCGGACCGUUCCAGAGAUGGUUCAUUCCCUUUCGGGGACUGU